This 433-nucleotide ribosomal RNA is filed under the name uncultured bacterium. RNAcentral's name for it is "partial 16S ribosomal RNA". It matches the Rfam family "Bacterial small subunit ribosomal RNA", at positions 29 to 507 of the family's 1533-position model. The record is from RNAcentral.
AACGAACGCUGGCGGCAUGCCUAACACAUGCAAGUCGAACGAGACCUUCGGGUCUAGUGGCGCACGGGUGCGUAACGCGUGGGAACCUGCCCUUAGGUUCGGAAUAACUCCCCGAAAGGGGUGCUAAUACCGGAUAAUGUCUUCGGACCAAAGAUUUAUCGCCUUUGGAUGGGCCCGCGUUGGAUUAGCUAGUUGGUAGGGUAAAAGCCUACCAAGGCGGCGAUCCAUAGCUGGUCUGAGAGGAUGAUCAGCCACACUGGGACUGAGACACGGCCCAGACUCCUACGGGAGGCAGCAGUGGGGAAUAUUGGACAAUGGGCGAAAGCCUGAUCCAGCAAUGCCGCGUGAGUGAUGAAGGCCUUAGGGUUGUAAAGCUCUUUUACCCGGGAUGAUAAUGGCAGUACCGGGAGAAUAAGCUCCGGCUAACUCCGUG